GCCAGUUAGCUAGCCAACCACUUGGAUUAACACCACAACAUAAAUAACCCCGCAUUACCUUACAAGUAAAAAACAAAUCAUUUUUCCACCUUAGUAUGGGAGACAGAAAAGGAUAUUUGAGCCAUAGAAAAAGUACCGCAAGGGAAAGCUGAAAGAGAAAUGAAACAACCCACUUAAGCAUAUAAAAGCAAAGAUUAAGCCUUGUACCUUUUGCAUCAUGAUCUAGCCAGAACACCCAAGCGAAGAGCACUUUAGUUUGGGCCCCCGAAACUGGACGAGCUACUCCGGGACAGCCUGAAUUAUAGGGCGAACCCGUCUCUGUUGCAAAAGAGUGGGAAGAGCCCCGAGUAGAAGUGAAAUACCUAUCGAGUCUAGUUAUAGCUGGUUGCUUAGGAAAUGAAUAGGAGUUCAGCCCCCCCGAUUUUUAAGUCACUAAGAUCCUACUUUUAUUGACUUUAAGAAGCGGAGGGAGUUAGUCGAAGGAGGUACAGCUCCUUCGAACCAGGAUACAACCUUAACAGGUGGCUAAGAAUCAUAGUAUUAAAGGCUAACUGCUUCAGUGGGCUUAAGGGCAGCCAUCUGUAUUGAAAGCGUUAAAGCUCAGGCAGCAAGCGACCUCUUAUUCUGUUAAAACUUUCUACCCCCUUGUAUUACUAAGCCGUCCCAUGCCCCCAUGGGAGUGACGAUGCUAGAAUGAGUAAUAAGAGGGGACACCCCCCCCCCCUCUCCCAGCACACGUGUAAGUCGGACCGGACCCUCCACCGAUAAUUAACGAACCCAAACCUAGAGGGAAAUUUAAGCUUAAUUGAAAACGAGAAGAGCCUAAUUAAUUUUAUCGUUAACCCCACACAGGAGUGCCCACACGGAAAGACGAAAAGGAAGAGAAGGAACUCGGCAAACACAAGCCUCGCCUGUUUACCAAAAACAUCGCCUCUUGAGUACCCUAUAUAAGAGGUCCCGCCUGCCCGGUGACUCUGGGUUAAACGGCCGCGGUAUUUUAACCGUGCGAAGGUAGCGCAAUCACUUGUCCUUUAAAUGAAGACCUGUAUGAAUGGCUAGACGAGGGCUUAACUGUCUCCUCUCCCCCGUCAAUGAAAUUGAUCUCCCCGUGCAGAAGCGGGGAUUUUUUCAUAAGACGAGAAGACCCUAUGGAGCUUUAGACACUAGACAGCCCACGUCAAACAACCUUAACCUGCUAGGCGAGAACAUUGUGGCCCCUGUCUCCCCUGUCUUCGGUUGGGGCGACCGCGGAGGAAAAAAAGCCUCCAUGUGGAAUGAAGAUACCACCUUCACAGCUCAGAGCCGCAGCUCUACGCAACAGAAAUUCUGACCAAAAAUGAUCCGGCACAUGCCGAUUAACGGAACAAGUUACCCUAGGGAUAACAGCGCAAUCCUCUCCCAGAGUCCCUAUCGACGAGGGGGUUUACGACCUCGAUGUUGGAUCAGGACAUCCUAUUGGUGCAGCCGCUAAUAAGGGUUCGUUUGUUCAACGAUUAAAGUCCUACGUGAUCUGAGUUCAGACCGGAGUAAUCCAGGUCAGUUUCUAUCUAUGACAUGAUCCUCCCCAGUACGAAAGGACCGGGAAGAAGGGGCCCAUGCUCAAGGCACACCUCACCCCCACCUGCUGAAGACAACUAAAACAGAAAAGGGGACAUAUCCAGACGCGUUAAAGAAAAAUAAUACCGCAUCCCAACGUGGCGGUUAUCGGAAUGCAAGACACAUGCAAGGAUAUUCCAUCACCCC
Molecule: ribosomal RNA, 1743 nt
Filed under: Retropinna semoni (Australian smelt)
Lineage: Eukaryota; Metazoa; Chordata; Actinopteri; Osmeriformes; Retropinnidae
Description: 16S ribosomal RNA
Rfam family: Bacterial large subunit ribosomal RNA
Source: RNAcentral